RNAcentral lists this transfer RNA (88 nucleotides) under Ustilaginoidea virens. It matches the Rfam family "tRNA". Rfam says of the family: Transfer RNA (tRNA) molecules are approximately 80 nucleotides in length. The record is from Rfam by way of RNAcentral. Lineage: Eukaryota; Fungi; Ascomycota; Sordariomycetes; Hypocreales; Clavicipitaceae.
GGUCGAGUAGUAUAGCGGUUAGAACGAUCGCCUCACAGCCCGGGCUGGGAGUCCGCGAUAGAUCCGGGUUCGACUCCCGGCUCGACUA